AUUAUUAUGACAGAUUAGUGUGUUAAUUUUAGGAAUUAAUUAAAUAUAAUUUAAUUAUAUUAAUAAUA
RNAcentral lists this transfer RNA (68 nucleotides) under Leptopilina syphax. RNAcentral describes it as "tRNA-Leu". Lineage: Eukaryota; Metazoa; Arthropoda; Insecta; Hymenoptera; Figitidae. The record is from RNAcentral.